This is a long non-coding RNA of Calypte anna (Anna's hummingbird), 203 nucleotides long. RefSeq lists it as uncharacterized. NCBI's taxonomy places the organism in Eukaryota, Metazoa, Chordata, Aves, Apodiformes, Trochilidae. The record is from RefSeq and is a predicted model, not a curated record. The transcript is spliced from 3 exons.
GCCACCUCCGGCUGGCCUGGGUCGAGGAUGAGGCGGAAGAGAUCAGUCUCCCCGUCCCAGACAAGGUGGUCCAGCUGAUGGAGACAGAUCCCAAUCCUGAUGCCACCUUCCUUUGGUAUUCAGCGGAAGAGGGCCAGGAGAUGAGUGGGGAUGCUCAGGAAGAGUUAGGAGAGGAGCGGGACAAAGAGCGUGUGAGAGAUCUG